Molecule: long non-coding RNA, 438 nt
Filed under: Anser brachyrhynchus (Pink-footed goose)
Lineage: Eukaryota; Metazoa; Chordata; Aves; Anseriformes; Anatidae
Description: lncRNA (ENSABRG00000006212.1)
Source: RNAcentral
GGGGUUUUGAAGGUGACUGCACUGCCAUGAAGCUUCUCUCCCCACCUCUUGCUGCUAGAAACAGCCUCGUCCGUCCUCCCUCCUUCCACCUGCCAGCGCUGAUGUGGGAAUGAAGUUUCUGGCGCUGCUGCUGAACUGUAAAUUGACUUCAGGGCAGAGACCAACUCCUGCAGCAUGUGAGGGGGGUGUGUCUGUGGAAGAGCUAAACCAACCUAUUUGCUGGCUGUCACCAAGAAAGCAUUCGGUCUAACCUCACAGUGAGCUUGUUAAAGCUGACCUCCAUGUCCAGCCGUGAAGGCAUUUUCUGGUUUGAGUGCCGCUGAGCAGAGUGACAUCCCGGCCUCUCCUGCCACUCUGUAAUUAACAGCCCCAAACAUGGAGCAGUGUCUGACCCUCUGACAUUUUUUUGCCAAGGCUUUUAUUAAUUUGACACUAGUU